GUGCUUGUGGAUCACCGUGUAAGAUCGUUCGGUCUCUCCAAUUGGGGAUAUACUGAAAGUCGGGGGUUCGAAUCCCUCCAAGCGUA
Non-coding RNA from Mycena alexandri, 86 nucleotides. Lineage: Eukaryota; Fungi; Basidiomycota; Agaricomycetes; Agaricales; Mycenaceae. The record is from the annotation of a GenBank genome assembly.